RNAcentral lists this transfer RNA (74 nucleotides) under Cyclobacteriaceae bacterium. RNAcentral describes it as "tRNA-Arg". It matches the Rfam family "tRNA". From Rfam's summary of the family: Transfer RNA (tRNA) molecules are approximately 80 nucleotides in length. Lineage: Bacteria; Pseudomonadati; Bacteroidota; Cytophagia; Cytophagales; Cyclobacteriaceae. The record is from RNAcentral.
GGCUCCAUAGCUCAAUUGGAUAGAGCAACUGCCUUCUAAGCAGUAGGUUUCGCGUUCGAGUCGCGAUGGAGUCA